AUACUUACCUGGACGGGGUUUGUGGUUGAUCAUAAAGGAUCAUGACCUAGAUUUGUGGCCUCCAUUGCACUUUGGAGGCUUACUUGUCUAACAUCUCCCCAUGUGGGAGAGUGUACGUCAUAAUUUCUUACUGAGGGGGUACGCGUUCGCGCGGCCCCUA
Molecule: small nuclear RNA, 160 nt
Filed under: Zostera marina
Lineage: Eukaryota; Viridiplantae; Streptophyta; Magnoliopsida; Alismatales; Zosteraceae
Description: U1 spliceosomal RNA
Rfam family: U1 spliceosomal RNA
About the family: U1 is a small nuclear RNA (snRNA) component of the spliceosome (involved in pre-mRNA splicing). Its 5' end forms complementary base pairs with the 5' splice junction, thus defining the 5' donor site of an intron.
Source: Rfam by way of RNAcentral